RNAcentral lists this unclassified non-coding RNA (364 nucleotides) under Hevea brasiliensis (rubber tree). Lineage: Eukaryota; Viridiplantae; Streptophyta; Magnoliopsida; Malpighiales; Euphorbiaceae. The record is from RNAcentral.
GAAAAUUUCCUGUAACGGCUUGUUUGUAGCUUCAACUACAGUUCAGAUCUUAAUUUUUAGCUUCUUUGAUGGUGGAAACAAUGUGCGAUUUGACUGAUUUGAAGAUUCACUGAUUUUGUUUGUUGAUACAUCCACAUGGGAGCAUUGUUCUAUUAAAUGAGAAAAUGGAGGUUGAAAAGAGAACUUCAAAGGGAGGCUUUCUUCAGCUAUUUGAUUGGAAUAUCAAAUCUCGAAAGAAGCUUUUCUCUAACAAGUCUGAACUACCUGACAACUCUAAACAAGGAAAAGAAAAUGCCAAUGGAUCAGCCAAUUUAAGACUUCAGCAGGCUCACGAUCAUAGUCUUGGUUCCAACUCCAAGCAGAA